UAGUCCUCUCAUAGGCUUAUGCUGUUC
Molecule: non-coding RNA, 27 nt
Filed under: Rattus norvegicus (Norway rat)
Lineage: Eukaryota; Metazoa; Chordata; Mammalia; Rodentia; Muridae
Source: RNAcentral